This 343-nucleotide ribosomal RNA is filed under the name Bacillus subtilis. Its description in RNAcentral is "bacterial SSU rRNA". It matches the Rfam family "Bacterial small subunit ribosomal RNA", at positions 132 to 468 of the family's 1533-position model. Lineage: Bacteria; Bacillati; Bacillota; Bacilli; Caryophanales; Bacillaceae. The record is from RNAcentral.
GUAAGACUGGGAUAACUCCGGGAAACCGGGGCUAAUACCGGAUGGUUGUUUGAACCGCAUGGUUCAGACAUAAAAGGUGGCUUCGGCUACCACUUACAGAUGGACCCGCGGCGCAUUAGCUAGUUGGUGAGGUAACGGCUCACCAAGGCAACGAUGCGUAGCCGACCUGAGAGGGUGAUCGGCCACACUGGGACUGAGACACGGCCCAGACUCCUACGGGAGGCAGCAGUAGGGAAUCUUCCGCAAUGGACGAAAGUCUGACGGAGCAACGCCGCGUGAGUGAUGAAGGUUUUCGGAUCGUAAAGCUCUGUUGUUAGGGAAGAACAAGUACCGUUCGAAUAGG